GACCCAAUGGCAUAAUGGUUAAUGCACCUGCUCCAAUUAAUGUUGGUUGAAAUGAGUGAUUUCAGCAGGACAUCCUUGUUCGAUUCGAGGUUGGGUCA
Mycena filopes is the source of this 98-nucleotide non-coding RNA. Lineage: Eukaryota; Fungi; Basidiomycota; Agaricomycetes; Agaricales; Mycenaceae. The record is from the annotation of a GenBank genome assembly.